Non-coding RNA from Microcebus murinus (gray mouse lemur), 2015 nucleotides. The record is from RefSeq and is a predicted model, not a curated record. NCBI's taxonomy places the organism in Eukaryota, Metazoa, Chordata, Mammalia, Primates, Cheirogaleidae.
CACUGAGGUGCACGCUGCCCUCCGCGUCCGGCCUCCCGCUGGGCGGCUGCGACCGAGGACGAGUUUGCGCUGAAAACUCUUUGGAGCUAGCAAACGCGCCCCUAGCUCCGGAAAGUCCUAACGAGGCAGACAAAAUGCGACCUUCUCUCGCCGUUUCUCACUCGUCGUAUUUUCCUAAUUGCAACAGUAAUGUAUGUUCGCUGGAAAUGCGGGAAUGUGCAGAAAUUCAUCGUUAACGGCUGCAUACAUUCCAGCAAACGAUUGAAACUAUUUUAACUUACCCUGGACUUUGAGCUGUUACCCAGUUCUCACUUCAGUAAACGAUAACGGAAGGAAGAUCCCUGUACACGAAUUUCUGCACGUCUAGGUUAUGUUUUUAUACCUUCUUUCCUUUUCCCCACGCCCCUCGUCACCCCCCAAAGUGCUACCAGGUAGACCUAAAUGAGUUUAAACCUAAGUGAGGCAGUGGGGAGACUAGAAUUAUUCUGAUAAAGCCCCGUGGAAAGCAGGGAGCUUUCAGUGUAAUCAAGCUCAGUAAAUAUUUGAUUGAUUUUUUUAAUGUAAAUUCACAGUUGUCCAUUUUAUUCUGAUAACAUCUGAAUUUAAAAGGAUGUGUUUGUGUAGAAUUAUAAAGGCCCUUAAGUCAUUUAAAAUUUUCUCUUUAAAUUAUAAAUUGUGUUUAGGUGGUAGGUCUUUUCAAAAUGUUGAAGGAACAAGUGUAGUUGAAGGAUGCUCUUUGGAACUAAUGGACCUAGCUACUCUUUUAACCCGCUAAGUGAUUAACUUUUCUCUUGUUUCCUUACAAAAAUCUUCUCAUUAAGGAAAGGAUGAAAAGUUUUCCAGAAAUAGACUUUCUAACCAACAGUUUAAUAGUGGACAUUUAUUGAACAUCUAAAUUUUAAUGAGAAUUAAGGUAGAAUGUUAACUGGUCCCUGUUGUGCAGAGAAAGGUGACAUACUCUUGCUAACAGCCAAAACAGUAUAUGCUAAAAUGACAAGAUUUAAAAUAUUUUUUUUUUGCCCAUGUUCCAUGAAGAAAAGUGCUACCAGCCUAAAAUAAAAUUUAUUUUGUGUUUUUAUUUUGUUUGGAUAUUUCUGUUGUCUUUGUACAGAUGCUCCCCGUUGGGCUCUAAAUUAUCUUUUGCUUCCUUUGUUAGCUGUUUAAUGGCCAGGGACCUCGUCUGAAAAGUGACAAGUCUUGGUUCGAGUCCCAAAUUGUCGCUUAUUAGCCAUGUAACAUUUAACAAGUCACCUACGUGGGUUGCCCUUUCUACUCUUAAAGUCAAUUGUUAUUAGUAAAUGAGAUAACUCAUCUGAGUAUACUUUGGAAAAUUGUAAAAGAGCAUGCAAACGCAGGGUAGUGGUGAGGGCACAAGCAAUGUGGAAAAUCCUUUUAUUCUUGAUCUUCAUUCAUUUACUCAUUGAUUCAGCAAGUAUUUAUGGAGCUCCUCCUUUAUGCCAAGUACUAUGUGGGCACUGGGAUGCAGCAGGGAGCAAGAGAGACACGGUUCCUGCUUUCCCAGAGCUCACCAGCCAGCCCUAGGGAGGCUGAAGUUUUCAAAGUCUCCUUACCUGACCCUGACCUUCAGAGAGCAACUUUCCUGAUCUUUGUUCCCUAUGGUCUUCCAACAUUCAUGAAAUGUGCAGAGGAAAGGGCUUGGGAGGACAUAGCAAGAAGACAGCCAUCUGCAGCCCAAGGAGAGAGCCCUCAACAGUAACCAACCGGCUGGCACCUUGAUCUUGAAUUUGAACUGUGAGAAAAUCAAUUGGUUAUUUAAACCACCCAGUGUGUGGUAUUCUGUUAUGGGAGCCUGAGUGAACUGAUGCAUGUGUACUGAGCAAAGCCUAGGUGAUUAAUCUAUUUUUCUUUAAGUGACUUUCUCUACUUUAGCAUAUUCACAAAAAUUUUUGAAAUUAUGGUAUCUUAAGCUGAUAAUAUUCAACCAGACUGAAUCUAAGAAACUUACUGACACAUAUAUCUCAUUUAUCUAAGAAACUGAAGAACAUUAAAAAAAA